Molecule: ribosomal RNA, 1207 nt
Filed under: Bacillus sp. USMS12
Lineage: Bacteria; Bacillati; Bacillota; Bacilli; Caryophanales; Bacillaceae
Description: bacterial SSU rRNA
Rfam family: Bacterial small subunit ribosomal RNA
Source: RNAcentral
GGAUAACUCCGGGAAACCGGAGCUAAUACCGGAUAGUUCCUUGAACCGCAUGGUUCAAGGAUGAAAGACGGUUUCGGCUGUCACUUACAGAUGGACCCGCGGCGCAUUAGCUAGUUGGUGAGGUAACGGCUCACCAAGGCGACGAUGCGUAGCCGACCUGAGAGGGUGAUCGGCCACACUGGGACUGAGACACGGCCCAGACUCCUACGGGAGGCAGCAGUAGGGAAUCUUCCGCAAUGGACGAAAGUCUGACGGAGCAACGCCGCGUGAGUGAUGAAGGUUUUCGGAUCGUAAAGCUCUGUUGUUAGGGAAGAACAAGUGCAAGAGUAACUGCUUGCACCUUGACGGUACCUAACCAGAAAGCCACGGCUAACUACGUGCCAGCAGCCGCGGUAAUACGUAGGUGGCAAGCGUUGUCCGGAAUUAUUGGGCGUAAAGGGCUCGCAGGCGGUUUCUUAAGUCUGAUGUGAAAGCCCCCGGCUCAACCGGGGAGGGUCAUUGGAAACUGGGAAACUUGAGUGCAGAAGAGGAGAGUGGAAUUCCACGUGUAGCGGUGAAAUGCGUAGAGAUGUGGAGGAACACCAGUGGCGAAGGCGACUCUCUGGUCUGUAACUGACGCUGAGGAGCGAAAGCGUGGGGAGCGAACAGGAUUAGAUACCCUGGUAGUCCACGCCGUAAACGAUGAGUGCUAAGUGUUAGGGGGUUUCCGCCCCUUAGUGCUGCAGCUAACGCAUUAAGCACUCCGCCUGGGGAGUACGGUCGCAAGACUGAAACUCAAAGGAAUUGACGGGGGCCCGCACAAGCGGUGGAGCAUGUGGUUUAAUUCGAAGCAACGCGAAGAACCUUACCAGGUCUUGACAUCCUCUGACAACCCUAGAGAUAGGGCUUUCCCUUCGGGGACAGAGUGACAGGUGGUGCAUGGUUGUCGUCAGCUCGUGUCGUGAGAUGUUGGGUUAAGUCCCGCAACGAGCGCAACCCUUGAUCUUAGUUGCCAGCAUUCAGUUGGGCACUCUAAGGUGACUGCCGGUGACAAACCGGAGGAAGGUGGGGAUGACGUCAAAUCAUCAUGCCCCUUAUGACCUGGGCUACACACGUGCUACAAUGGACAGAACAAAGGGCUGCGAGACCGCAAGGUUUAGCCAAUCCCACAAAUCUGUUCUCAGUUCGGAUCGCAGUCUGCAACUCGACUGCGUGAAGCUGGAAUCGC